GAUGAACGCUGGCGGCGUGCUUAACACAUGCAAGUCGAACGGAAAGGCCGUGCUUUUGUGGUGUGCUCGGGUGGCGAACGGGUGAGUAACACGUGAGUAACCUGCCCUUGACUUUGGUAUAACUUCAGGAAACUGGGGCUAAUACCGGAUAGGAGCUCCUGCUGCGUGGUGGGGGUUGGAAAGUUUCGGCGGUUGGGGAUGGACUCGCGGCUUAUCAGCUUGUUGGUGGGGUAGUUGCUUACCAAGGCUUAGACGGGUAGCCGGCACGAGAGGGUGACCGGCCACCAUGGGACUGCGAUACGGCGCAGACUCCUACGGGAGGCAGCAGUGGGGAAUAUUGCACAAUGGGCGGAAGCCUGAUGCAGCAGCGCCGCGUGCGGGAUGACGGCCUUCGGGUUGUAAACCGCUUUCGCCUGUGACGAAGCGUGAGUGACGGUAACGGGUAAAGAAGCACCGGCUAACUACGUG
Molecule: ribosomal RNA, 468 nt
Filed under: uncultured bacterium
Lineage: Bacteria
Description: partial 16S ribosomal RNA
Rfam family: Bacterial small subunit ribosomal RNA
Source: RNAcentral